This 757-nucleotide ribosomal RNA is filed under the name Levilactobacillus brevis. RNAcentral describes it as "bacterial SSU rRNA". It matches the Rfam family "Bacterial small subunit ribosomal RNA", at positions 57 to 801 of the family's 1533-position model. The record is from RNAcentral. Lineage: Bacteria; Bacillati; Bacillota; Bacilli; Lactobacillales; Lactobacillaceae.
GAAUGACGUGCUUGCACUGAUUUCAACAAUGAAGCGAGUGGCGAACUGGUGAGUAACACGUGGGGAAUCUGCCCAGAAGCAGGGGAUAACACUUGGAAACAGGUGCUAAUACCGUAUAACAACAAAAUCCGCAUGGAUUUUGUUUGAAAGGUGGCUUCGGCUAUCACUUCUGGAUGAUCCCGCGGCGUAUUAGUUAGUUGGUGAGGUAAAGGCCCACCAAGACGAUGAUACGUAGCCGACCUGAGAGGGUAAUCGGCCACAUUGGGACUGAGACACGGCCCAAACUCCUACGGGAGGCAGCAGUAGGGAAUCUUCCACAAUGGACGAAAGUCUGAUGGAGCAAUGCCGCGUGAGUGAAGAAGGGUUUCGGCUCGUAAAACUCUGUUGUUAAAGUAGAACACCUUUGAGAGUAACUGUUCAAGGGUUGACGGUAUUUAACCAGAAAGCCACGGCUAACUACGUGCCAGCAGCCGCGGUAAUACGUAGGUGGCAAGCGUUGUCCGGAUUUAUUGGGCGUAAAGCGAGCGCAGGCGGUUUUUUAAGUCUGAUGUGAAAGCCUUCGGCUUAACCGGAGAAGUGCAUCGGAAACUGGGAGACUUGAGUGCAGAAGAGGACAGUGGAACUCCAUGUGUAGCGGUGGAUGCGUAGAUAUAUGGGAAGAACACCAGUGGCGAAAGGGGCUGUCUAGUCUGUAACUGACGCUGAGGCUCGAAAGCAUGGGUAGCGAACAGGAUUAGAUACCCUGGUAGUCCAUGCC